Molecule: unclassified non-coding RNA, 76 nt
Filed under: Pseudomonas moraviensis
Lineage: Bacteria; Pseudomonadati; Pseudomonadota; Gammaproteobacteria; Pseudomonadales; Pseudomonadaceae
Source: RNAcentral
AAAGAUCGCAGCCUUCGGCAGCUCCUACACAGGAUUUGCGUUCAUUCUGCAGGAGCUGCCGAAGGCUGCGAUCUUU